UGGUGGAGUGAUUUGUCUGGUUAAUUCCGUUAACGAACGAGACCUCGACCUGCUAAAUAGUAUCGGGAACCUUCGGGUUCGCAGAAACUUCUUAGAGGGACUUUGCCUGUUUAGGGCAAGGAAGUUCGAGGCAAUAACA
This 139-nucleotide ribosomal RNA is filed under the name uncultured eukaryote. RNAcentral's name for it is "partial 18S ribosomal RNA". It matches the Rfam family "Eukaryotic small subunit ribosomal RNA", at positions 1299 to 1458 of the family's 1831-position model. The record is from RNAcentral.